This 747-nucleotide ribosomal RNA is filed under the name uncultured archaeon. Its description in RNAcentral is "bacterial SSU rRNA". It matches the Rfam family "Archaeal small subunit ribosomal RNA", at positions 102 to 850 of the family's 1478-position model. The record is from RNAcentral.
AGUUAACCUAACCUAUGGAUGGGGAUAACCUCGGGAAACUGAGAAUAAUCCCCGAUAGACCACAAUGCCUGGAAUGGUUUGUGGUUGAAAUGAUUUAUCGCCGUAGGAUGGGACUGCGGCCUAUCAGCUAGUUGGUGAGGUAAUGGCCCACCAAGGCUAUAACAGGUACGGGCUCUGAGAGGAGGGGCCCGGAGAUGGGUACUGAGACACGGACCCAGGCCCUAUGGGGCGCAGCAGGCGAGAAACCUUUGCAAUGUGCGAAAGCACGACAAGGUUAAUCCGAGUGUCUUCUGCUAAAGAAGUCUUUUGUUAGUCAUAGAACCACUGAUGAAUAAGGGGUGGGCAAGUUCUGGUGUCAGCCGCCGCGGUAAAACCAGCACCUCGAGUGGUCAGGAGGUUUAUUGGGCCUAAAGCAUCCGUAGCCGGUUGUUUAAGUUUUCGGUUAAAUCUAUGCGCUUAACGUAUAGGCUGCCGAAAAUACUGGACAGCUAGGGAGUGGGAGAGGUACACGGUACUCAAUAGGAAGGGGUAAAAUCCUUUGAUCUGUUGAUGACCACCUGUGGCGAAGGCGGUGUACCAGAACACGUUCGACGGUGAGGGAUGAAAGCUGGGGGAGCAAACCGGAUUAGAUACCCGGGUAGUCCCAGCUGUAAACGAUGCAAACUCGGUGAUGCAUUGGCUUGUGGCCAAUGCAGUGCCGCAGGGAAGCCGUUAAGUUUGCCGCCUGGGAAGUACGUACGCAAGUAU